Long non-coding RNA from Magnolia sinica, 382 nucleotides. RefSeq lists it as uncharacterized. The transcript is spliced from 3 exons. The record is from RefSeq and is a predicted model, not a curated record. Lineage: Eukaryota; Viridiplantae; Streptophyta; Magnoliopsida; Magnoliales; Magnoliaceae.
GCCACAGCUGACAUGGCUUUUUUUUUUUUUUUUUGUCAUUGUAGAUUCUUUUCAAGUAUCCUCCUAGGAAGAGCUUUGCCGCAAAUGACAUGUUUGGUUUCGAUCUGUUCAGACCAGGCAAAGCUGGAUUGAGGAAAUCAGUCAACGGCAAGCAGAAGUACUAGAUGCCCAACUGACAGUUGAGCAGCUUCAACAACAAUAUCAGUUGCUCGUGGCCCAAAAUGAGAUGUUGAAGUUGGUUGCAGUAUGCUGAGCGGAUUCCUAUUGGGUUGGAAAAGGUGAUUCGAACAGUUUCUUCUGAAACGGUCAAGCAAUUUUAUAAUAUAUGGUACCAUUUACACAAUAUGGCUGUGGUCGCUGUUGGAGAUUUUACUGAUACACA